RNAcentral lists this small RNA (354 nucleotides) under Histoplasma ohiense. RNAcentral describes it as "hypothetical lncRNA". The record is from RNAcentral. Lineage: Eukaryota; Fungi; Ascomycota; Eurotiomycetes; Onygenales; Ajellomycetaceae.
AAGGACGGCGGUGGGAGCUCGAACAAGGACAAUAGAGAUAUAUCCCUACUGGGCGUUCCUCCUGACGAAGUCCGGGGAAGAGGGAGGAGAACUCCCUGGAGAACCACUGCGGCUGCUGGUGCUGAGGUUCUCAUAAUAACCCAUGAUUGUCCAGUAGCUCUUGCGGGCUCUUUGGACAUCUUGGUCACUCAUUUUUGGUUUUUCUUCGGCAUAACUCUGAGGCUUUCUUUUGUUGAUUAGCGAAAUGUAAUCAAUGGAUCAGACACUAUGCGCUAUGUAUCCAAGCCUUCCACAAGUUGAUGCGUUGUCCUGGGCCGCCAUGCCACCUAAGGCGAUACUGUUUGCAAGACCCCA